GCCCUUAGCUCAGUUGGAUAGAGCAACGGCCUUCUAAGCCGUAGGUCACACGUUCUUAUAAUAGGGGCG
Molecule: transfer RNA, 69 nt
Filed under: Burkholderia sp. Bp9125
Lineage: Bacteria; Pseudomonadati; Pseudomonadota; Betaproteobacteria; Burkholderiales; Burkholderiaceae
Description: tRNA-Arg
Rfam family: tRNA
About the family: Transfer RNA (tRNA) molecules are approximately 80 nucleotides in length.
Source: RNAcentral